Daphnia pulex (common water flea) is the source of this 1347-nucleotide long non-coding RNA. RefSeq lists it as uncharacterized. The record is from RefSeq and is a predicted model, not a curated record. Lineage: Eukaryota; Metazoa; Arthropoda; Branchiopoda; Diplostraca; Daphniidae. The transcript has 3 exons.
UGGAUCCGGCUGAUACUGCUAUUGUGUCAGGGUGUGGUUUUAUUCUAUGCGAACUUGAAUUGACAUUGCCAAAAAUAUGGUUAGAAUUCAGACAAUCCAAACCUAAAACUAACAAACUGUGAGUGAUGGCCUCGGUUAUCCAAACUUAGGAAUGACCAAAUUUCCUUUCAAUCAAUUAUCCAUUUAAAGUGAAAGUAAAAAAUUGGAUGACAUUUUCGUGAGAAUCAAAGCAUUUACUAAUCAAUUAUUCUGCCUUUCAGAAAAGAUUGACAGAGACCUCCGUCAGUUUGCGUACUCAUUUAAUUUAUUCUUUAAUUUAUUGUAUUUUGCAUGCCAUGCCAUUGCAUUGUCAUGUCGUACGGCUAUACGAGUGUGCAGUAAUCGGGCAGAUUCUAAGAAAACAAAAUGAUCGAGUCUACUCUCCUUUCCGAGAUUUGUUUAUGGCUUGAUAAACUUUUUAAGCCAUUUGAGGGUUCUAAACUACGAUUGCUGACCAAAAUUAGUUGGCUUCUUAUCGUGGUAAUCGACCAAAGGCCUCCAGGAAUGUCUUUCGAUUUGUGGAUUCUGAUAGCUGGUUUCAGUUUUUGAGCAUUGAUUUUUUUCAACGGCUUCCUUCCACGGUUUAUACCAGUCUCCUAAUUUUCUCAAAGGCCAACAUCUCCGCAUCAUCUGGCCUCGCUGGUAGGGGAACUAUCAGGACCGGUCAAAGGCGUUGUUCUUAUCGAUUAUUUGACAGCCCGGUUUAAUUUCACGUACGAACAUGUUAGAGUGACUGAAACCUGCUGGAACCCACCCAAAAUGGAAGAGGACUUUUUCAGCUACCUUUUUGAUAAUGUGGGUAAUAAUUACGGUGUUACUAUUGGUUACUAUUCUCACUACUUGAUGACUAAUGACGUGUUUGUUUGCUUGCAGCAAAACGACUUGAUAGUUUCAGCUAUCGUGCCGACAUUUUCUCGCUUGAAAAUUGUUAAUUACUCUGCCGUGGAGUUAUGGCUCUUACGUUUUCCUCCUUCCGAUUCCCGACCAGUCGGCCACCUGAUGGUGAAAAUAUUCGGACGCAUAAACUUCAAGGAGACUAUCUACAAGGAACCCCCAAACUUCCCUGUGCUCUAACGGGAUCGGAUGCCUGCAGUAAGUCGGUUUAGUGAAUAAGGUUGUUUAGUAUUAGUCCUCGCGAUUGCAUACUCUGAAAUUAGAUUCUGUUCCAAACUAAAACCUUGGUAAUCUAGGCGAAGGGACUGAAAUUGCAAGUGUAUCGUAUUCAUCUGGGAUUCUCGAGGGAUUCCCAAUGUCCUCUCCAUUGAGGCUAGUUCACUUAAGUUCACGCUAGAUAGGUAGAGCUAGCAA